CCUACGGGUGGCAGCAGUGAGGAAUAUUGGUCAAUGGCCGAAAGGCUGACCCAGCCAAGUCGCGUGCGGGAAGAAUGUUCUAUGGAUUGUAAACCUCUUUUGUACGGGAGUAAAGUAACCAACGUGUGGGUGUUGGAGAGUAGCUGACGAAAACGCAUCGGCUAACUCCGUGCCAGCAGCCGCGGUAAUACGGGGGAUGCGAGCGUGAUCCGGAUUUAUUGGGUUUAAGGGGUGCGUAGGCGGUAUGCCACGUCAGCGGUAAACUCGCGGGGCUCAACUUCGCUCCGCCGUUGAAAGUGGCAGACUAGAGUGAGCGAGAAGGAGGCGGAAUGCGUGGUGUAGCGGUGAAAUGCAUAGAUAUCACGCAGAACACCGAUGGCGAAGGCAGCUUACCGGCGCCCAACUGACGCUGAAGCACGAAAGCGUGGGGAGCGAACAGGAUUAGAUACCCUUGUAGUC
This 459-nucleotide ribosomal RNA is filed under the name uncultured bacterium. Its description in RNAcentral is "partial 16S ribosomal RNA". It matches the Rfam family "Bacterial small subunit ribosomal RNA", at positions 338 to 795 of the family's 1533-position model. The record is from RNAcentral.